This is a non-coding RNA of Anopheles stephensi (Asian malaria mosquito), 46 nucleotides long. Lineage: Eukaryota; Metazoa; Arthropoda; Insecta; Diptera; Culicidae. The record is from Rfam.
CAAUCGGCUCUUUUCAGAGCCACCUAAUAAUUGAAAGAGAAUAUUG